This 464-nucleotide ribosomal RNA is filed under the name uncultured bacterium. RNAcentral describes it as "partial 16S ribosomal RNA". It matches the Rfam family "Bacterial small subunit ribosomal RNA", at positions 339 to 795 of the family's 1533-position model. The record is from RNAcentral.
CUACGGGUUGCCCCAGUGGGGAAUAUUGCACAAUGGGCGAAAGCCUGAUGCAGCGACGCCGCGUGGAGGAUGACGGUUUUCGGAUUGUAAACUCCUGUUAAGUGGGAGGAAAAGCUCGCAAGUAAUAUGUGCGAGUGUUGACGUUACCACUAGAGAAAGCUCCGGCUAACUUCGUGCCAGCAGCCGCGGUAAUACGAGGGGAGCAAGCGUUAUUCGGAAUUACUGGGCGUAAAGGGCGCGUAGGCGGUCUACCAAGUCAGUUGUCAAAUUCCUUGGCCUAACCAAGGGUCGGCAAUUGAAACUGGCAGACUAGAGUAUGGAAGAGAGAAGUGGAAUUAUCGGAGUAGCGGUAAAAUGCAUAGAUCCCGAUAGGAACACCAAUGGCGAAGGCAGCUUCUUGGUCCAUUACUGACGCUGAGGCGCGAAAGCGUGGGGAGCAAACAGGAUUAGAUACCCCUGUAGUC